UGAUUUGUAUAGAGCUUUUAACGAUGGAGGUGAUCACAAAGCAGCUGUACAGAAAUAAAGCGAGUGUUAGAAUAAAACAUUCCACAGAUACAUGCUGAUUUUUAUUGGGGAGAAGAAGAGAGGAACUUCUGGUGGAGUUUUGAGUGAGAACUUGUACCACCGCGCUCCAACCUUCAAUUGUCGAGCUACUACACAAAGUGUAAAUGUUUACAGAAGGAAUUCUGAUGGAUUUCCUUCCAACUAAACACUCUUCACUUACUGGCCACAGCGGAGGAGUCAGUUUUAUUGCUAUGCUGCUAAACCAGAUUAGACUAUUGUCCAUGUGGAGCUUCAGCACCUUCUCACUAUCUCUACAAUGGCUCCUUACGUGUACUACUACUACUACUAUUGCAAUAUGACCCCACUCUGCUCCAAGCGAGGGUGGGGUGCUGAGGUCUGACUUCUCCCUUGUGACCUCGGAUUACACACGAAAUAGUAAAGAAAUAAUAAAGAAUGAUGUUGGAUAUUGUUCACACACAAACCUGAAGAAUUCUUCUUCUCUAAUUACUGCUCAAACAUCAUGUCUCAACUGUGAUGCUGCACAGAAGAGGAAGUGCUCCAACACACACACACACACACACACACACACACCACACACACACACACACACACACCCACCCCUUAUUUCCUACACAAUACAGGUGUGUUAGUGUCCUACAGAGUAAUAUAAUGCUGAAAGAUUAUAAAGAUAUGAUUCUACAGCUGGUUAGUCAGUUUAUAUAACGUAAUAUGUGCUAUCACUGUGCUUCUCCUUGAAGAUGUCUACAUUAUUUCUCUUCUUCUUGGACCAGUCCACUAUCACUGUGCGUCACGUCUCUCAGUGUGAGCUCUGGGUAUCUGAGUGAUGUUCUGUGUGUGUAUUCAGCUUUACACUGUAGUGAGUGUUGAGUCACGUUACAGAUCCGUUCACCAUCAGCUGAAUCACUGCUUGUAUAAAUCACCUCCACUGGCUCUGGUACGGACAGAUCCAGGAUCAGAUCUCCAUCAUGCUUCACCUGAACUGCUGAGAACACGGCUGAGGAGAAAACACAUUCAGCUGUAUUUAUUCAGAGUCCACAACUAAAGUUCAAAGGUCACGUCAGUGUUUGCGUGUGGAAAGUUGCUGGUAUUCAGAGUCGGUUACACAGCUGCUUCAGUGGAUUUUCUGAGCUCUAAAGCUCAGAUGAUUAAAAUAAGACAAUUUAAAAAUGAAGAGAUCUCAGGUUUAGAUUUGUAAUUAAAGUUUAAAAACAUGUUUUCACUUCAUCAUUACGGGAGAUUAAGUGUUGAUUGAUGGGUAAAAAUCUCAAUUCUAUCCGUUCAACAUCAAAUCCACAACACAAUAAUGUGUGCACCAAGUGAAGGGGUGUGAAUACUUUCUGACCCCACUGUCUGUGUCUGAACGAACAGCACUAGCUGUAAUUAUCACAUGAAUCACCGGUUUCAUUAAACAAUAAUGAAAGAAGCAUUUCUAAAUGAUUAUGUGAAGAACUGUGAUGAUGUUGUGCUCCAACAGCAGCACUUCAUGAAGCUACGAGACUCUAAAUGGAGGAGAUGAAAUUGUAAGUGAAACUGUCAUUUAAUAAAUUGAGAGUGUCAUUUAAUAUUGUCCUUGAAUGGUGCUCCGUGUGUGUGUGUGUGUUUAAGAUCAGAAUCGAGUGAAACCGAGACAUGCCUCUGUUUUAGAUAAACUCCGCCCCUGCAUGCGUAACUCUCACCUGACUUCUGAACAGUGUUGAGUGUGUAGUUACGUCUGAGUUCUGAGUACUGAUGUGUGGAAUUUCAGGAUUAAAUCCUAACUGUGCUCUUAACUCUGAAUGUAACCCCAAUAAUUCAGACUGAAUGUUUUAUCAGCAGUAGAAGAGAUAAAGACACUUACUAUCAAUUCUGAGACGCCAUACAGCGUAGUCUAUGCUGCGACACUCACACACGUACGUGUUCCUCAUACUGUAUUCAGCUGAAGUGAUGGUGAGAGAGAGAUCUCCCUUCAGGUACUGAUCAUGAGACAUUUCAUAUCCCUUCACCACUGAGCUGCAUGAUGUCUGAUCACACCGAGCGAAGACAGAUCGAGUACUUUUCAAGGUCCAUUUGGCUUCACCAGAACAUUCAUGUUCACAUGGGAGAGUCACACGCUGAUGAAGCUUCACCUGGACACGACAGUCAGCAGCUGCUACAGGAGCUGAAAGAGAGAAUAAAUCCUUUAUGACAAGGCCAAAACUAUGAAGAUGAGUUUAGAUUUAAAUUGAAGAAUAAAGUGAGAGCACUGCGCUCUUUUCCACCGUGUGGAUUAAUCUGACUGCUGCAGGUGUAAAAACUCAUACAGAGAAAAUUCAGGGCUGUGUCCCAAACCACGUAAAGUGCACUAAGAUUCCUAAACACUAAUCACACGCUGUAGUGACAUUUAAUGUCACAGUGCAGUGAGAUAACAC
Molecule: long non-coding RNA, 2447 nt
Organism: Ictalurus punctatus (channel catfish)
Lineage: Eukaryota; Metazoa; Chordata; Actinopteri; Siluriformes; Ictaluridae
Source: Ensembl